Molecule: ribosomal RNA, 2039 nt
Filed under: Mycobacterium tuberculosis
Lineage: Bacteria; Bacillati; Actinomycetota; Actinomycetes; Mycobacteriales; Mycobacteriaceae
Description: bacterial LSU rRNA
Rfam family: Bacterial large subunit ribosomal RNA
Source: RNAcentral
GUCGUGCUACCCGCAUCUGAAUAUAUAGGGUGCGGGAGGGAACGCGGGGAAGUGAAACAUCUCAGUACCCGUAGGAGGAGAAAACAAUUGUGAUUCCGCAAGUAGUGGCGAGCGAACGCGGAACAGGCUAAACCGCACGCAUGGGUAACCGGGUAGGGGUUGUGUGUGCGGGGUUGUGGGAGGAUAUGUCUCAGCGCUACCCGGCUGAGAGGCAGUCAGAAAGUGUCGUGGUUAGCGGAAGUGGCCUGGGAUGGUCUGCCGUAGACGGUGAGAGCCCGGUACGCGAAAACCCGGCACCUGCCUAGUAUCAAUUCCCGAGUAGCAGCGGGCCCGUGGAAUCCGCUGUGAAUCCGCCGGGACCACCCGGUAAGCCUAAAUACUCCUCGAUGACCGAUAGCGGAUUAGUACCGUGAGGGAAUGGUGAAAAGUACCCCGGGAGGGGAGUGAAAGAGUACCUGAAACCGUGUGCCUACAAUCCGUCAGAGCCUCCUUUUCCUCUCCGGAGGAGGGUGGUGAUGGCGUGCCUUUUGAAGAAUGAGCCUGCGAGUCAGGGACAUGUCGCAAGGUUAACCCGUGUGGGGUAGCCGCAGCGAAAGCGAGUCUGAAUAGGGCGACCCACACGCGCAUACGCGCGUGUGAAUAGUGGCGUGUUCUGGACCCGAAGCGGAGUGAUCUACCCAUGGCCAGGGUGAAGCGCGGGUAAGACCGCGUGGAGGCCCGAACCCACUUAGGUUGAAGACUGAGGGGAUGAGCUGUGGGUAGGGGUGAAAGGCCAAUCAAACUCCGUGAUAGCUGGUUCUCCCCGAAAUGCAUUUAGGUGCAGCGUUGCGUGGUUCACCGCGGAGGUAGAGCUACUGGAUGGCCGAUGGGCCCUACUAGGUUACUGACGUCAGCCAAACUCCGAAUGCCGUGGUGUAAAGCGUGGCAGUGAGACGGCGGGGGAUAAGCUCCGUACGUCGAAAGGGAAACAGCCCAGAUCGCCGGCUAAGGCCCCCAAGCGUGUGCUAAGUGGGAAAGGAUGUGCAGUCGCAAAGACAACCAGGAGGUUGGCUUAGAAGCAGCCACCCUUGAAAGAGUGCGUAAUAGCUCACUGGUCAAGUGAUUGUGCGCCGAUAAUGUAGCGGGGCUCAAGCACACCGCCGAAGCCGCGGCACAUCCACCUUGUGGUGGGUGUGGGUAGGGGAGCGUCCCUCAUUCAGCGAAGCCACCGGGUGACCGGUGGUGGAGGGUGGGGGAGUGAGAAUGCAGGCAUGAGUAGCGACAAGGCAAGUGAGAACCUUGCCCGCCGAAAGACCAAGGGUUCCUGGGCCAGGCCAGUCCGCCCAGGGUGAGUCGGGACCUAAGGCGAGGCCGACAGGCGUAGUCGAUGGACAACGGGUUGAUAUUCCCGUACCCGUGUGUGGGCGCCCGUGACGAAUCAGCGGUACUAACCACCCAAAACCGGAUCGAUCACUCCCCUUCGGGGGUGUGGAGUUCUGGGGCUGCGUGGGAACUUCGCUGGUAGUAGUCAAGCGAAGGGGUGACGCAGGAAGGUAGCCGUACCAGUCAGUGGUAACACUGGGGCAAGCCGGUAGGGAGAGCGAUAGGCAAAUCCGUCGCUCACUAAUCCUGAGAGGUGACGCAUAGCCGGUUGAGGCGAAUUCGGUGAUCCUCUGCUGCCAAGAAAAGCCUCUAGCGAGCACACACACGGCCCGUACCCCAAACCGACACAGGUGGUCAGGUAGAGCAUACCAAGGCGUACGAGAUAACUAUGGUUAAGGAACUCGGCAAAAUGCCCCCGUAACUUCGGGAGAAGGGGGACCGGAAUAUCGUGAACACCCUUGCGGUGGGAGCGGGAUCCGGUCGCAGAAACCAGUGAGGAGCGACUGUUUACUAAAAACACAGGUCCGUGCGAAGUCGCAAGACGAUGUAUACGGACUGACGCCUGCCCGGUGCUGGAAGGUUAAGAGGACCCGUUAACCCGCAAGGGUGAAGCGGAGAAUUUAAGCCCCAGUAAACGGCGGUGGUAACUAUAACCAUCCUAAGGUAGCGAAAUUCCU